Molecule: long non-coding RNA, 930 nt
Filed under: Mytilus galloprovincialis (Mediterranean mussel)
Lineage: Eukaryota; Metazoa; Mollusca; Bivalvia; Mytilida; Mytilidae
Source: RNAcentral
GUAUAAAGUUGUACUUUAAAAAUAAAAAUAUCUAUCUAUCUAUAUAAACGUAUACAAAAAAGACAAAAUCAAAAACCGACUGUACAUGCAUGUUGGAUCGUAAACCGUAAACAGUAAAUUCUAAGCAAGAAUAUUAUUAACAUGAUUUGGUUCCAGACACUAAGUUUCGACACUAUUUAUAAAUUAGUUUUUCUGCCCGUCUGUUGUACCAAUAUCUUGUCUGAGUUGUAUUAAUUUGUAGCAACUUUUAAUCAAAUAUGAGUGAAAAUGUGCGUGAUGUUAACCACCAUGUUCAGUGUCAGAAGUUCCAGAAUGGUCAAGACAAAAUUUGUUCACGGCUAUCCAGUUUCACUAAAAAUUAAUACAUAGGAUUGACAGAAGAUGACACCAAUUUAAACUACACCUAUAGAUAUGUUUUUUUUUCUGACACACGGGCAUAUCAUAUAAAGAUACCAGAGGAACAUUCAAACUCAUAAGUCAAAAAUAAACUUACAAUGCCAUGUCUAAAAAAGAAACAGACAAACAAUAGUACACAAAACACAACGCAGAAAUACACGGAAAAUGAAGUGAUAGCAGGUGCUCCGGAAGGGUAAGAUACCAGACGAGGGCGUACAAUUAAUAAACCAAGACAUUUACAAGAUUUUUAUUGAAAACAAUUAGUGUCGUUUCCCUUACAUGAGAAAUGUUUGCCGCCUUUAAUUUCUUAUUGUUAUAAUGAUCAAUCAUGAAUUGUUUUUGUGCUAAUAAAUUGUGGCUUCUGUACAGACAAAAACGACAGAUACAGCUUUAUUUUAAUUUAUCUCAAAAGGAGAUGUUUUAUUCUAAUGGGAGAAAGGAGAACGUGGGUAGGAGAAAGGAGAAGAGGGGUAGGAGAAAGGAGAAGAGGGGUGGGAGAAGGGAGAAGGGUACCCCCCUGUCCUCCCCCUCUAU